AGAAGCAUGCACAUCUUUUGGUAGCAUCUGGUUCAAAGGAACCAAUCAACACAACCAAUCGAAGAGGAAAUACAAAAGCAGGAAGGACACUGAAGUAGCAUAUGCAGAAGGACAAAGAAAUUUGUAGACUUGAUGCAAGGAUUAGGCAGAACCUUGCUGCCAUGCAGUAGUUGGAACAUGAGCUUGGGGCCAUGUUUUCCUUUGAUUAUAGGCAAGUUUUUAUCAACUCAAUCUGGUCAAACUUUAGAACUGAAAGGCUAAAUCUUGCCUU
Long non-coding RNA from Magnolia sinica, 271 nucleotides. RefSeq lists it as uncharacterized. The record is from RefSeq and is a predicted model, not a curated record. Lineage: Eukaryota; Viridiplantae; Streptophyta; Magnoliopsida; Magnoliales; Magnoliaceae. The transcript has 3 exons.